UGGAAUGGGUAGCCUUUCCCUUCUCCAGGGGAUCUUCCCAACCCAAGGAUUGAACCCAGGUCUCCUGCAUUGCAGGCAGAUUCUUUACCAGCUGAGCCACAAGGGAAGCCCAUUGUGUCAAAUGGCAGUCAAAUAAUUUCACAAGUAGGAACAGUAUUUAUGAUUUCCCACAAGUAGAAACAGUAUUUUUACUAUCACAGGAGUCUGUUUCCAAUGCUAUUAAUAAUCUGUAGCCAUCUGAUAUUUUCUGUUUUCAAGUAUAUUUCAAAACUGACCUACUUUUUAGAAUUGUGACUCUUAAUUCUGCUAAGAAGUUUAUUUUGAGGGGCUUGACAUUUUUUGAACAAAUCUGUACAUGUUUAAUACAGUGGCAGCGACUCACGACUUGAAGCUGUUUCACAUGCAGGUCUUACACAAGUGUGUGCUUCUUACACUUGUUCACAUGCAGGUCUUACACAAGUGUGUACUUCUUACAUUUGUUCGAAAGGCUUAAAUUUCAACAGUUCAUUUAUUAUAAUUAUCAAAUAUUCCUGAAACCUAUGUAUGUGACUUCUCAUUAUUUUAACAGACUAGUAGGGGUAGAAAUGAUCAGAAAUGAAGAAAUUUUUAGUGGGAAGCUAAAUGUCUGUCUUAAAGCCUGGGAAUUUCUUUUUCCAUUUUUCUUUUAUCCACUUUAUUUGCCUUCCUAAAGUCGGAGCAAAUAGGAAAAGAAAAGUUGGGAAGCCAUCAGAGAAGACAAUGACAUAAGCA
Molecule: long non-coding RNA, 750 nt
Organism: Bubalus bubalis (water buffalo)
Lineage: Eukaryota; Metazoa; Chordata; Mammalia; Artiodactyla; Bovidae
Exons: 2
Source: RefSeq, a predicted model, not a curated record